UAGGGGAGCUUCCCAUGGGCGGAGAAGCCGGAGGGCGACCGACGGUGGAGCGCAUGGGAGUGAGAAUGCUGGCAUGAGUAGCGAGAGACGAGAGAGUAACUCGUCCGCCGUGAACCCGAGGUUUCCUGGGCAAGGCUAAUCCUCCCAGGGUCAGUCGGGGGCUAAGGCGAGGCCGGGAGGCGUAGCCGACGCGCAGCAGGCAGACAUUCCUGCACCGCGCACGCGGCGCUACGACCGACGGGGCGACGGAUGGGGGUGGCUCGGCGGGGUUCUGGACGUCCCCGUGAUGGAGCGCGGCCCGCGGACCAGGGAAAUCCGGUCCGCAGAAGGGCGAGGCUCCGGACGAAGCGAUUGAGCGAAGCGAGUGAGCCCGAGGUCCCUAGAAAAACCCCUAGGCAGGCGCGUGCGCGCCCGUACCGCAAACCGACACAGGUGGGUGGGUAGAACAUACCGAGGCGAUCGGGUCAACCAUGGUCAAGGAACUCGGCACAAUGGCCCCGUAACUUCGGGAGAAGGGGUGCCCGCGCGUACGUGAACCGGCUUGCCCGGGGAGCGGAGGCGGGCCGCAGUGGAGAGGCCCAAGCGACUGUUUACCAAAAACACAGGACUCUGCAGAAGCCGCAAGGCGACGUAUAGGGUCUGACGCCUGCCCGGUGCCGGAAGGUCACGCGGAGGAGUUAGCCGUUAAGGCGAAGCCCCGAAGCCAAGCCCCGGUAAACGGCGGCCGUAACUAUAACGGUCCUAAGGUAGCGAAAUUCCUUGUCGGGUAAGUUCCGACCUGCACGAAAGGCGCAACGACUUGGGCGCUGUCUCGACCAUGGACCCGGUGAAAUUGCACUGGUCGUGAAGAUGCGACUUACCCGCGGAAGGACGGAAAGACCCCGUGAACCUUCACUGCAGCUUGGCAUUGGCCGCUGGUCCCGCGUGUAGAGGAUAGGCAGGAGGCACAGAUCCGGAGGCGCCAGCCCCCGGGGAGCCGCCCUUGGAAUACUGCCCUCGCGCGACCGGCGUCCUAACCCGAGGCCGUCAACCGGCUCGGGGACCGUGCCAGGCGGGCAGUUUGACUGGGGCGGUCGCCUCCUAAAGGGUAACGGAGGCGCGCGAAGGUCCGCUCGGGACGGUCGGCAACCGUCCUUUUGAAUGCAAGAGUACAAGCGGGCUUGACUGCGAGGCCCACAAGCCGAGCAGGUGCGAAAGCAGGCUCUAGUGAUCCGGCGGCCCCGAGUGGGUGGGCCGUCGCUCAACGGAUAAAAGGUACUCCGGGGAUAACAGGC
RNAcentral lists this ribosomal RNA (1274 nucleotides) under human gut metagenome. Its description in RNAcentral is "bacterial LSU rRNA". It matches the Rfam family "Bacterial large subunit ribosomal RNA", at positions 1229 to 2482 of the family's 2925-position model. The record is from RNAcentral.